Molecule: long non-coding RNA, 3224 nt
Filed under: Monomorium pharaonis (pharaoh ant)
Lineage: Eukaryota; Metazoa; Arthropoda; Insecta; Hymenoptera; Formicidae
Description: uncharacterized LOC118645557
Source: RNAcentral
UUAUAUGGCUUUUAACCAAUAAACUUGCAACUUUUCUGUUUGAAAGGGUAUUUGCGCAUACGUUUCUCUUGCGAAUAAAUUCAAGAAUCAAGCCUCUGAGCCACUUUAGCUAUAGCACGGCUCAUUGUGUCAAGCAUUGGCUGCCGGUUCGAGCGGCUUAGCGCUACUUUCGGUGCGCUCUUAUUUGUUCAAUUUAAAAAAUUAUUAUUUUGGCUAUUAUUGGAGAUAUCCAAAAACUAUAGUAGAUUUUUAUGUUCACCUUAAUCUCGUCUAUCUUUCUAUUAAGUAUUGCAUACAUUAUACGAGACACCGUGUAUAUAGGGCGUUUUCUGUAAAUGGAGACCUCUCUCCCCAGAAUAUACUUCAAUAUUAAAAAAGCAGCAAGUGCGCAAAUUAUAGCUAAAAACGUCUAUUUUUAAAUGCCGUUUGGUAUUUUUUGAAAAAUUUAGUACAAGAUACCAAUAUGGUCAAAUUGAGACUAUUUUCCCUCAUUUAUGAACAGAAUAUUUGAACAAAAUAUCAAGACACAAUAUAUAGACUUUAAAAUGCGUUUUCAGAGUAGCUGAAAAUUUCUAGAUACUCAUUUUAGUUAAAAUAUUAUUUUUUGAUACUUCGAUCAAAUAUUCUGCGUGUAACUCACUGAUUUUAGUUAUAAUUUGUUCGAAACUGAUAAACAAUUAUUGCAAACGUAUAAUACUACAAAUUUAAAAAUUAGAAAUUUUCGAGCUAACUACAAAGGGUUUUAAAAUACAGAUUAUCAUAAUUUAAGUCAACAUUAUGUAGAAAAAAUGGAAGUCGAGUGUGAAUAUUGUAGAGGGAAACAUUUUCACGCUGAAAAAGUUCACAAUAAAGAUAACUCAUUCAAAGAUAGUUGUAAUCAUGGAAAAGUUAUAUUGGAACCUUUACCAACAUUUUUUAAUGAACUACAACAAUUAUUUUUGGGAAAUCAUAAAAAAUCUAAUGAGUUUUUUAAAAACCUAAGAAGUUACAAUGGUGCAUUUUCUUUUGCAUCUUUUAAUGCUAAUUUGGUUAAUUUUAAUGCAUAAAAACGAGGACCUUAUUGUUUCAAAAUUCAAGGUUAAAUUUAUUACCAAAUUAAUACUGCAUUAUAUCCUGCUAUAAAUGAGCAAUCAAGUUAUGGACAGCUUUUUAUUCUUGACGCUAACGAAGCUACAGAAUGCCGUUUAAAUGUAAAUACAAAUCUUCAUGAAGAGUUAUUGCGUACAUUAGAUGACAUUAUUCGUAAUAAUAAUAUAUUUGCUCAAUCAUAUCAAAUGAUGCACGAAGAAGUACUUAAUCAAAAAAGUUUAGGUUUAAAUAUACCUAAUUUAAAAAUAGGAUUUUUAAAUAAAAAAACAGGCAUUGAUCGUGGAAGAUAUAAUGUUCAAAAAAUUAAUAAAGUUGCUGCAAUAUUUUCAACUACUGCAGAUGGAAAUAUUCCUGAUUGUUAUGUUACAAUUAGAAACAAAUGUGAUAAAACUUUAAAAUACGUUAGUAUGGAUCCAAACGUUGAACCUUGGAUUUAUCCAAUGUAUUAUCCAUAUGGUACACAAGGUUGGCAUGAUAAUAUUAAACAAAUCGGAUGGAAAACGUGUAACUAGAUCCAUGUAUGUUCAAUACCGAAUGGCUGUAUGUAAUAAUGUCAAUGUUUUUUUAAUAGGUAAACGGCUAUUUCAACAAUGGCUUGUUGAUAGCUAUGUAAAAAUAGAAAAAGAUAGAAUUAAUUGGUGUAAAGAAAAUCAAAAACAUUUGAGAGUGGAAAAGCACCAAGGACUGAUUGACUAUUUAGAAAAAAGUGGCUGAUACUAAUGUUUAUAUUGGACGUGUAAUAAUACUUCCUUCUACAUUUAUUGGUUCACCUAGAAAUAUGAUGCAAAAUUAUCAAGAUGCGAUGACUAUUGUUCGCAAAUAUGAAACGCGGUUUGCCGCACAUACAUAUGUUAAUAACUAUGAAACAAAAUUGCAAAAUUACUAAUUUGGAAACUGUUGAUAAAUAUAUUUCUGCUGAAAUUCCCGAUCCUGCUAUUGAUAAAAAUUUACAUGAAAUUGUCAUGAAGAAUAUGAUUCAUGGACCAUAUGGUGAUUGGUGUAUGAUAAAUGGAAAAUGUUCAAAAUAUUUUCCAAAAUCCUUUCACGAGGAAACAACUAUGGAUGAAAAUGGUUAUCCACAAUAUCGUCGAAGAGACACUGGCAUUUUGUAUGAGAAACCCGAAGAAUUUGUAGUAGAUAAUCGGUUUGUUCCUUAUUGUCCCAUAUUAUCACAAUUUUUAAUUGUCAUAUUAAUGUUGAAGUUGUUUCAAGUAUUAAGUCAGUAAAGUAUUUAUACAAAUAUAUUUACAAAGGUCACGAUGCAGCAUCUGUAGUUAUAGAACAAGAUGUGAAUAAUGUAGAAAUUGUUCAUGACGAAAUCAAAGAUUUUAUUGAAGCACGCUAUGUAGGACCAGUUGAAGCUUACUGGCGUUUAUAGGUAAAACAUUACAAGAGAAGAGUCAUGCUAUUAUUCGUCUAUCUGUACAUUUGCCAAAUGAACAGAAUGUUAUUAUAUCUAAUAAAUCAAAUUAACAAGAUUUACAAUCUGCUUUAGAUCGUAUAACAAUGUUAAUGGAUUAUUUUAAAUAAAAUAAACGAAAUGUUGAUGCACGUCAGUAUGUAUAUACAGAUAUACCUUUAUAUUUUGUAUUUAAAAAGGUAACAUUUAACGGAAAACAAAUUUAUCGUUGGAAAAAACGUCAAUGUCAUUUUAACUAUAUUGGACGCAUGUACUCAGUUAGCCCAACUAAAAUCGAAUUAUUUCAUUUACGUAUUCUUUUAUUGAAUGUCAAAGGAGCAACAUGCUAUAAUGACUUAAAAACAGUCAAUGGUGAAUUACAUCAAACGUUUACUUCUUCAUGUUUAGCUUUAGGCUUAAUUAAAGAUAAUGAAGAAUGGAAACGUGCAAUGAACGAAGCUUCUAUUUGGAUGAUGCCAAGACAACUUAGGUUACUUUUGUUCAAAUAUUAAUACAUUGCCAACCAGGGCAUUCAAAAGAAUUGUGGGAUGAAUUUCAAGUUGCAAUGUCAGAAGAUUAUAUACGACAAUUUGAACGAGUCACUGGGAUAAGAAAGGCUUAUAUUCAAAUUGGUCAAUUACUUUGCAAAGAAAAUUGGGAACUUUCACAAUUUCCAGAAAUGGAACAAAUAACGAUUGAAUAUGAAAAAGAACAUGCCAAACAAUUGGAAAAAAAA